Molecule: ribosomal RNA, 292 nt
Filed under: uncultured bacterium
Lineage: Bacteria
Description: partial 16S ribosomal RNA
Source: RNAcentral
GGACUACCAGGGUAUCUAAUCCCGUUCGCUCCCCUAGCUUUCGCACCUGAGCGUCAGGUACUCCCCAGGACACUGCCUUCGCCUUCGGUGUUCCUCCGGAUAUCUACGCAUUUCACCACUCCACCCGGAAUUCCGUGUCCCUCUGAAGCCCUCAAGUCGUCUAGUUUUCAAAGCCCUUGCCCAGUUAAGCUGGUCACUGUCACUUCAAACUUUGACGACCGCCUGCGUGCCCUUUACGCCCAGUAACUCCGGACAACGCUUGCCCCCUACGUAUUACCGCGGCUGCUGGCAC